GAUGAACGCUGGCGGCGUGCCUAAUACAUGCAAGUCGAGCGAACAGACGAGGAGCUUGCUCCUCUGACGUUAGCGGCGGACGGGUGAGUAACACGUGGAUAACCUACCUAUAAGACUGGGGUAACUUCGGGAAACCGGAGCUAAUACCGGAUAAUAUAUUGAACCGCAUGGUUCAAUAGUGAAAGACGGUUUUGCUGUCACUUAUAGAUGGAUCCGCGCCGCAUUAGCUAGUUGGUAAGGUAACGGCUUACCAAGGCAACGAUGCGUAGCCGACCUGAGAGGGUGAUCGGCCACACUGGAACUGAGACACGGUCCAGACUCCUACGGGAGGCAGCAGUAGGGAAUCUUCCGCAAUGGGCGAAAGCCUGACGGAGCAACGCCGCGUGAGUGAUGAAGGUCUUCGGAUCGUAAAACUCUGUUAUUAGGGAAGAACAAAUGUGUAAGUAACUAUGCACGUCUUGACGGUACCUAAUCAGAAAGCCACGGCUAACUACGU
RNAcentral lists this ribosomal RNA (496 nucleotides) under uncultured bacterium. RNAcentral describes it as "partial 16S ribosomal RNA". It matches the Rfam family "Bacterial small subunit ribosomal RNA", at positions 28 to 506 of the family's 1533-position model. The record is from RNAcentral.